Molecule: long non-coding RNA, 229 nt
Filed under: Setaria viridis
Lineage: Eukaryota; Viridiplantae; Streptophyta; Magnoliopsida; Poales; Poaceae
Description: long non-coding RNA (SVIR_LNC003211)
Source: RNAcentral
CGCAGGUCACAAAUGAGUUACACACAUGCAUCACAUACACAAAGGGGCCAUACUGAUCACAAGAUACAUACAUCCUGCAAAAUAGAGUUAAGCGUCCUAACGUUCCAAACUUCGGAGGCCGAAAACUCCAUCUUCCAAGCUGAAUUUGGGAAAUCUAAUUUUGCUAAAAAUAGCAAAGCAGUUGAAUUUCAUCUGUAACUUUUUCUGUAGAUCAAUUUUCAUAUAAAAU